RNAcentral lists this ribosomal RNA (417 nucleotides) under uncultured bacterium. RNAcentral describes it as "bacterial SSU rRNA". It matches the Rfam family "Bacterial small subunit ribosomal RNA", at positions 355 to 786 of the family's 1533-position model. The record is from RNAcentral.
UGGGGAAUAUUGGGCAAUGGGCGGAAGCCUGACCCAGCAACGCCGCGUGAAGGAAGAAGGCUUUCGGGUUGUAAACUUCUUUUAAGAGGGACGAAUAAAGUGACGGUACCUCUUGAAUAAGCCACGGCUAACUACGUGCCAGCAGCCGCGGUAAUACGUAGGUGGCAAGCGUUAUCCGGAUUUAUUGGGUGUAAAGGGCGUGUAGGCGGGACUGCAAGUCAGAUGUGAAAACUCAGGGCUCAACCCUGAGCCUGCAUUUGAAACUGUAGUUCUUGAGUGCUGGAGAGACAAUCGGAAUUCCGUGUGUAGCGGUGAAAUGCGUAGAUAUACGGAGGAACACCAGUGGCGAAGGCGGAUUGCUGGACAGUAACUGACGCUGAGGCGCGAAAGCGUGGGGAGCAAACAGGAUUAGAUACC